This 589-nucleotide ribosomal RNA is filed under the name Metarhizium album. Its description in RNAcentral is "eukaryotic LSU rRNA". The stretch from base 198 to 351 matches the Rfam family "5.8S ribosomal RNA". Lineage: Eukaryota; Fungi; Ascomycota; Sordariomycetes; Hypocreales; Clavicipitaceae. The record is from RNAcentral.
AGGGAUCAUUAUCGAGUUUACUACAACUCCCAAACCCCCUUGUGAACGUAUACCUUUCCAGUUGCUUCGGCGGGUAUAGCCCCGGGGUCAGGUUCGCAAGAGCCUGCCCGGAACCAGGCGCCUGCCGGGGGACCAAAACUCUUGUAUUUCUGUACGAUAAGGAAUGUCUGAGUGGUUUAUAGAAGAAAAUGAAUCAAAACUUUCAACAACGGAUCUCUUGGUUCUGGCAUCGAUGAAGAACGCAGCGAAAUGCGAUAAGUAAUGUGAAUUGCAGAAUUCAGUGAAUCAUCGAAUCUUUGAACGCACAUUGCGCCCGCUAGUAUUCUAGCGGGCAUGCCUGUUCGAGCGUCAUUUCAACCCUCAAGCCCCGGCGGUUUGGUGUUGGGGGCCGGCGAUGGUGUUGGGGGCGAUCUCUUCGUCCCCGCGCGCGCCGCCCCCGAAAUGAAUUGGCGGCCUCGCCGCGGCCUCCUCUGCGUAGUAACAUGUUGCCCCUUCGCAACAGGAGCCCGGCGCGGCCACUGCCGUAAAAACCACCAACUUUUUUCACAAGUUGACCUCGAAUCAGGUAGGAAUACCCGCUGAACUUAAG